AACAGGAGGAGAGGGUGCAGCAGGUGAGGAAGAGGCUGGAGCAGGCGCUCAUGGCCGACGUCGUUUCCCGCGGAGACGAUUCCAGGAAAAACUCGGAAACGGAGCUGGAAAACGGCCGGGAAUGCUGAGACAGGUACUUGGAUCCCCCAAAGGAGGAAAUUCCAACGAAAUUCCAAACUUUUGAGGCACUUUUGGAUUUUUUUCCCCCCCUUCGGAUUCGCGCA
This is a non-coding RNA of Cyanistes caeruleus (blue tit), 224 nucleotides long. Lineage: Eukaryota; Metazoa; Chordata; Aves; Passeriformes; Paridae. The record is from RefSeq and is a predicted model, not a curated record.